GAACAAAAGCGCCAGAACUUACAUACUAAGUUGACGAGGACUGGGAUUAUCGAAAUUUCGGCGGGUAUUCCAGAGGUGACUACAACCUAAGACUUUUUACAAAACUAAAUGGGUAACCUUUAGGACAAAGAAAAGUA
This 137-nucleotide non-coding RNA is filed under the name uncultured Cetobacterium sp. Its description in RNAcentral is "glmS glucosamine-6-phosphate activated ribozyme". It matches the Rfam family "glmS glucosamine-6-phosphate activated ribozyme aptamer". From Rfam's summary of the family: This entry contains a glucosamine-6-phosphate activated ribozyme that is found in the mRNA for GlmS. GlmS is an enzyme that uses fructose-6-phosphate and glutamine to generate glucosamine-6-phosphate. The record is from RNAcentral. Lineage: Bacteria; Fusobacteriati; Fusobacteriota; Fusobacteriia; Fusobacteriales; Fusobacteriaceae.